AGGAGAGUUUGAUCCUGGCUCAGGAUGAACGCUGGCGGCGUGCUUAACACAUGCAAGUCGAACGAAGCAACUUAUCACGAUCCCUUCGGGGUGACGAUUUGUUGACUGAGUGGCGGACGGGUGAGUAACGCGUGGGUAACCUACCUUGUACAGGGGGACAACAGUUGGAAACGACUGCUAAUACCGCAUAAGCGCACAGCUUCGCAUGAAGCAGUGUGAAAAGUUUUUCGGUACAAGAUGGACCCGCGUCUGAUUAGCUAGUUGGUGAGGUAACGGCCCACCAAGGCGACGAUCAGUAGCCGACCUGAGAGGGUGACCGGCCACAUUGGGACUGAGACACGGCCCAAACUCCUACGGGAGGCAGCAGUGGGGAAUAUUGCACAAUGGGCGAGAGCCUGAUGCAGCGACGCCGCGUGAGCGAAGAAGUAUUUCGGUAUGUAAAGCUCUAUCAGCAGGGAAGAUAAUGACGGUACCUGACUAAGAAGCACCGGCUAAAUACGUGCCAGCAGCCGCGGUAAUACGUAUGGUGCAAGCGUUAUCCGGAUUUACUGGGUGUAAAGGGAGCGUAGGCGGUUUUACAAGUCUGAUGUGAAAGCCCGGGGCUCAACUCCGGUAUUGCAUUGGAAACUGUAGAACUAGAGUGUCGGAGGGGUAAGUGGAAUUCCUAGUGUAGCGGUGAAAUGCGUAGAUAUUAGGAGGAACACCAGUGGCGAAGGCGGCUUACUGGACGAUUACUGACGCUGAGGCUCGAAAGCGUGGGGAGCAAACAGGAUUAGAUACCCUGGUAGUCCCCU
RNAcentral lists this ribosomal RNA (794 nucleotides) under uncultured Bacillota bacterium. Its description in RNAcentral is "bacterial SSU rRNA". It matches the Rfam family "Bacterial small subunit ribosomal RNA", at positions 1 to 799 of the family's 1533-position model. Lineage: Bacteria; Bacillati; Bacillota. The record is from RNAcentral.